CGCACACGCACACGCGCACCUUAGAGGGAACCUUGGUCUCAAGUCCGUUUGAGAGUUGAAAAGUUCUUGGUGCCGUGACUCAGAUCCAGAACACACGUUAAAGAAGUAGGACCGCGGACCGUUCCCUGCUGACCCCCAGGCACCAAACUUAAGAGCAGACCAGUCUCCCUUAGCUAGCCUUUCAAUUCAAGCCUUUCUCCAGAAUCGGGCUGCAAAAAAGGAAAAGGAUGACUGGCUGCGUGCAGAGUGUUCACUGCACCCUGACUCUCCCUGGCGCUCCCCGGACGGCCGCCUGGUGGCACCUAGAGAACUCCUCCCACAUCUUGCUCGUUUAACCCACUCUGUGGCCCAUACGAGCAAAGGGGGGACAAUUGCUACAGUAGAAAGAGAUUGGUUUGCCCCAAAUUUUCCUUCCAUGGCGCAACAGUACUGUAGCUCCUGUCCCAUCUGUUUAGCUCAUAACAUUGGGCAACGGGUAAAGACAACACCUGCAGCCCAUCCCCCUCCAUGGGGACUGUUUGUGAAUUUGCAAAUUAAUUUUGUACAGCUACCCAUGUGUUGUUCGUAUGAGUAUAUUCUUGUUAUUAUUGAUAUGUUCUCUGGAUGGGUGGAAGCCUACCCAUGCAUACAUGCCGAUUCCAUCACAGUAGCUAAGAAACUGCUUAAAGAAUUCAUUCCUAGAUUUGGAUUGCCCCACACAAUAGAUAGCGAUAGGCACCCAUUUCACAAGACAAAUAGUAAAAAGCAUCUGCCAAGCACUCAACAUACAGCAACACCUGCAGCUACCUGCGCAUAGUUAUCAUCCACGAUCAAGUGGUGCUGUAGAAUGUAAAAACUCUGAUUUAAAGACACGCAUUUCAAAAAUUUGUGCUGAAACAGGCCUCAAAUGGCCUGAUGCACUGCUCAUUCCUCUCAUGCACAUUAGAAACACUGUCGAUAGAAAACAUGGCCUAAGACCUUAUGAAAUACUCAUGGCAUGACCCCCGAGGAUGCUGGCCACCCCAACUGCUGCCCCAUACCAAACAGACCUACAACUAACUGAUGAAACUGUGCUGAACUAUUGCAAGGCAUUAAUGAAGUGUCAGGUCUGUUCAUUCACAGGUCGAAGAAGCCUUACCUCAACCACUGGAUAUUCCCUGUCACAACCUCAAACCAGGUGAUUGAGUCUAUGUAAAGGUCCAUCAGCAGAAAAACGUGCUUCAACCCAGAUAGAAAGGACCGUUUCAGGUGCUUCUGACCACUAACACUGCUGUUCAUUGCCAAGGUCACCAGAUGUGGACUCACGCCUCGCACUGUAAAGAAGUAUCACCUCCAUUGGACCCCAAAGCGACUGAAUUCCAACCCAGAUUAAGACCUUUCCCUGAGGCCAAGGACAAAGACCCUCAGGACCUCACUCAGGCAAGUGAGGAGCAUCAGGGUGCAAGUGCUAGUAACCUCUCCCCUGAACCCAACUCCUCAGCCCAGCCAGAUUUACCAAUUGUGGAAUGAAGAUAUCAUCUCUGACCCCGUUAAAUAAUAUCCAAACAUGAAGCUUUUUUCUAUCUUGAUUGUUAAUGCCAAACUUUUGAGCUUAGCCUGUGAGGCUGAGGGAGCAAAGGGGGGAAGUGCACAGGGGGCUUGACAGGACAUGAGAGGAGAUGCCAGCACCUUCAGG
Molecule: long non-coding RNA, 1654 nt
Organism: Alligator sinensis (Chinese alligator)
Lineage: Eukaryota; Metazoa; Chordata; Crocodylia; Alligatoridae
Exons: 3
Source: RefSeq, a predicted model, not a curated record